UUGACAGUGGUGGAGACUGAAGUUCUCUAUUCACAGAACAGGUAUACCAUUGGCACUGGCAGUGACCCCAUGCUGUUGCUUGACAUUUUUGCCCCAGCCAAAACUUGGAGGGAUCAUCUAUUGGUAUGACUUGAGAGCAGAAUUGUCUCAAUUGUUCAUUUAGUCUCUGUCCUUU
RNAcentral lists this small RNA (175 nucleotides) under Chrysemys picta bellii (western painted turtle). Its description in RNAcentral is "TUC338 (ENSCPBG00000021466.1)". The record is from RNAcentral. Lineage: Eukaryota; Metazoa; Chordata; Testudines; Emydidae.